GCCUUGGUAGGACAAUGGUUAAGUAUUCAGCUGCUAACUGAAAGGCUGGUGGUUCCAACCCACCCAGGGCU
Molecule: transfer RNA, 71 nt
Filed under: Loxodonta africana (African savanna elephant)
Lineage: Eukaryota; Metazoa; Chordata; Mammalia; Proboscidea; Elephantidae
Rfam family: tRNA
About the family: Transfer RNA (tRNA) molecules are approximately 80 nucleotides in length. Their secondary structure includes four short double-helical elements and three loops (D, anti-codon, and T loops). Further hydrogen bonds mediate the characteristic L-shaped molecular structure. tRNAs have two regions of fundamental functional importance: the anti-codon, which is responsible for specific mRNA codon recognition, and the 3' end, to which the tRNAs corresponding amino acid is attached (by aminoacyl-tRNA synthetases). tRNAs cope with the degeneracy of the genetic code in two manners: having more than one tRNA (with a specific anti-codon) for a particular amino acid; and 'wobble' base-pairing, i.e. permitting non-standard base-pairing at the 3rd anti-codon position.
Source: Rfam by way of RNAcentral